RNAcentral lists this small RNA (82 nucleotides) under Flavobacterium sp. CECT 9288. RNAcentral describes it as "Flavo-1". It matches the Rfam family "Flavo-1 RNA". The record is from RNAcentral. Lineage: Bacteria; Pseudomonadati; Bacteroidota; Flavobacteriia; Flavobacteriales; Flavobacteriaceae.
GAUUUGCGUGAAGGAUAGCAGCGGAAAUCCUUUUUUAGGGCUUUUUUGCCCAAAAAGAUUGCAGCGAAUAGCCUGGUCGCCG